CCCUUAGAUGUCCUGGGCCGCACGCGUGCUACACUGAUGCAUACAGCGAGUACUCCCAGCUCCGAGAGGCUGCUGGUAAUCAGCAAUAUGCAUCGUGAUGGGGGUAGAUCUUUGGAAUUAUAGAUCUUGAACGAGGAAUUCCUAGUAAUCGCAGGUCAUCACCCUGCGUUGACUAAGUCCCUGCCCUUUGUACACACCGCCCGUCGCUCCUACCGAUUUCGAGUGAUCCGGUGAAUCAUUCGGACCGCGGCCCCUAGGCAUGCGGAAAGUCUAGUAAACCAUAUCACUUAGAGGAAGGAGAAGUCGUAACA
RNAcentral lists this ribosomal RNA (311 nucleotides) under uncultured eukaryote. RNAcentral's name for it is "partial 18S ribosomal RNA". It matches the Rfam family "Eukaryotic small subunit ribosomal RNA", at positions 1470 to 1796 of the family's 1831-position model. The record is from RNAcentral.